AACGCACAUUGCGCCCCGCGGCAUUCCGCGGGGCAUGCCUGUCCGAGCGUCAUUUCAACCCUCAAGCGCGGCUUGGUGUUGGGCGCGGCCUGCUCGGCCGGCCCCAAAGGCAGUGGCGGCGCCGUCGGGCCCGAAGCGCAGUACGACUCUCGCUCUCGGGUCCCGCGGUGGCCUGCCAGAACCCCGACUCUGCGGUUGACCUCGGAUCAGGUAGGGACACCCGCUGAACUUAA
Molecule: unclassified non-coding RNA, 233 nt
Filed under: uncultured fungus
Lineage: Eukaryota; Fungi
Description: partial contains 5.8S ribosomal RNA, internal transcribed spacer 2, and large subunit ribosomal RNA
Source: RNAcentral